GCGGUAUAACUACUCUUGCCUUAUUUGGGACAUCCCUUAAUGAAAUAAAUGCUUUUCAAUAUGAAAAUCAUUUACAAAGAUUGAAAAAAGUGUACGAAAGGCACAGAAUCCAAUUGCACAAGUUGCAAAAACAAUUGUUGAAAUGGAAAAGGCCUAGUGUAGAAGGACUCCAGGGAUUUGGUUGAGCUUUACCCAUGGCUUACACCAGACAUAGGGACGAACAAAUUUUUUUUUAAUUUAAAAGAUGACUGUGAGAAAUCCAUUGACUAUUUAACGCAAAC
Molecule: long non-coding RNA, 281 nt
Filed under: Mytilus galloprovincialis (Mediterranean mussel)
Lineage: Eukaryota; Metazoa; Mollusca; Bivalvia; Mytilida; Mytilidae
Source: RNAcentral